Molecule: ribosomal RNA, 497 nt
Filed under: uncultured bacterium
Lineage: Bacteria
Description: partial 16S ribosomal RNA
Rfam family: Bacterial small subunit ribosomal RNA
Source: RNAcentral
GAUGAACGCUGGCGGCGUGCCUAAUACAUGCAAGUCGAGCGAACGGACGAGAAGCUUGCUUCUCUGAUGUUAGCGGCGGAAGGGUGAGUAACACGUGGAUAACCUACCUAUAAGACUGGGAUAACUUCGGGAAACCGGAGCUAAUACCGGAUGAUAUUUUGAACCGCAUGGUUCAAAAGUGAAAGACGGUCUUGCUGUCACUUAUAGAUGGAUCCGCGCUGCAUUAGCUAGUUGGUAAGGUAACGGCUUACCAAGGCAACGAUGCAUAGCCGACCUGAGUGGGUGAUCGGCCACACUGGAACGGAGACACGGUCCAGACUCCUACGGGAGGCAGCAGUAGGGAAUCUUCCGCAAUGGGCGAAAGCCUGACGGAGCAACGCCGCGUGAGUGAUGAAGGUCUUCGGAUCGUAAAACUCUGUUAUUAGGGAAGAACAUAUGUGUAAGUAACUGUGCACAUCUUGACGGUACCUAAUCAGAAAGCCACGGCUAACUACGUG